CCGGCGCGGGUGAGUAACACGUAUCCAACCUGCCGUCUACUCUUGGACAGCCUUCUGAAAGGAAGAUUAAUACAAGAUGGCAUCAUGAGUCCGCAUGUUCACAUGAUUAAAGGUAUUCCGGUAGACGAUGGGGAUGCGUUCCAUUAGAUAGUAGGCGGGGUAACGGCCCACCUAGUCUUCGAUGGAUAGGGGUUCUGAGAGGAAGGUCCCCCACAUUGGAACUGAGACACGGUCCAA
RNAcentral lists this ribosomal RNA (237 nucleotides) under uncultured bacterium. RNAcentral describes it as "partial 16S ribosomal RNA". It matches the Rfam family "Bacterial small subunit ribosomal RNA", at positions 103 to 334 of the family's 1533-position model. The record is from RNAcentral.